AUUUAGUAGUUUUCUAUGUUUGGAGGCAUAAAGCUAAAACAAGUCUAACAUGUCAAAUUAGUAAGGUUAUCAAAUUGGGUACCAAAUAAAUAAGUUAGAAGUUUCAACUCACUAUAAUUCUUAAAUAAAUAGUUUUCCUGUUAAUCCAUAAUAAAAAUUUUAACUUAGACACAUAUUGAAAAUAUAGUGAAAUGCAUAACUCAUCUAGAAAUUUUAUCUGAAUAUGGAAGGACAGCCUCUGAUAUGCAAUUUUCCUCAUAAAAGUGACCAUAGAGAGCAUCGGUAGCUACAACACCAUGUGGCUGUUAAUCAGUUUUUGGUUGCAUUGGCAGUGUUCAA
This 339-nucleotide unclassified non-coding RNA is filed under the name Hevea brasiliensis (rubber tree). The record is from RNAcentral. Lineage: Eukaryota; Viridiplantae; Streptophyta; Magnoliopsida; Malpighiales; Euphorbiaceae.